AAAAAUAAUUUGCCCCAAGUGUAGGGCCUUUUUCCCUUCUUUCUUCUCUUUCUUCGGCAUCGGCCUCCCACAUCACCAGAUGCUUUUCUAUCAUUUUGAACCAUGAAUUCCUGUACAAGGGGUUCAUCAAAGUAUGACAUGCAUUCAAAUUUCUUAUUUGGAAAGAACAGCGUGAUUGGUUUGAUAUCCUCAAAUGUAUUAAAAACUUUUGCCCCAGUAUGGAUUUAUUUCAUGAAAUCUCACAAAUAAAAUUUUGCCCCAGUGUGGGCUCCCUUGAUUGCAAAAAUUUGUUCAGAUGAUUU
This 302-nucleotide long non-coding RNA is filed under the name Coffea arabica (coffee). Its description in RNAcentral is "long non-coding RNA (CARA_LNC004367)". Lineage: Eukaryota; Viridiplantae; Streptophyta; Magnoliopsida; Gentianales; Rubiaceae. The record is from RNAcentral.